This 492-nucleotide ribosomal RNA is filed under the name uncultured bacterium. Its description in RNAcentral is "partial 16S ribosomal RNA". It matches the Rfam family "Bacterial small subunit ribosomal RNA", at positions 29 to 507 of the family's 1533-position model. The record is from RNAcentral.
AGUGAACGCUGGCGGUAGGCCUAACACAUGCAAGUCGAACGGCAGCACAGUAAGAGCUCGCUCUUACGGGUGGCGAGUGGCGGACGGGUGAGGAAUACAUAGGAAUCUACUUUUUCGUGGGGGAUAACGUAGGGACACUUACGCUAAUACCGCAUACGACCUACGGGUGAAAGCAGGGGAUCUUCGGACCUUGCGUGAUUGAAUGAGCCGAUGUCGGAUUAGCUAGUUGGCGGGGUAAAGGCCCACCAAGGCGACGAUCCGUAGCUGGUCUGAGAGGAUGAUCAGCCACACUGGAACUGAGACACGGUCCAGACUCCUACGGGAGGCAGCAGUGGGGAAUAUUGGACAAUGGGCGCAAGCCUGAUCCAGCCAUACCGCGUGAGUGAAGAAGGCCUUCGGGUUGUAAAGCCCUUUUAUUGGGAAAGAAAAGCAGCAGGUUAAUACCCCGCUGUUCUGACGGUACCCAAAGAAUAAGCACCGGCUAACUUCGUG